UGGGGAAUAUUGGACAAUGGGGGCAACCCUGAUCCAGCCAUGCCGCGUGAGUGAUGACGGCCUUAGGGUUGUAAAGCUCUUUUCUCCGGGACGAUAAUGACGGUACCGGAGGAAUAAGCCCCGGCUAACUUCGUGCCAGCAGCCGCGGUAAUACGAAGGGGGCUAGCGUUGCUCGGAAUCACUGGGCGUAAAGGGCGCGUAGGCGGCUGAUUUAGUCGGGGGUGAAAGCCCGUGGCUCAACCACGGAAUGGCCUUCGAUACUGGUUGGCUUGAGACCGGAAGAGGACAGCGGAACUGCGAGUGUAGAGGUGAAAUUCGUAGAUAUUCGCAAGAACACCAGUGGCGAAGGCGGCUGUCUGGUCCGGUUCUGACGCUGAGGCACGAAAGCGUGGGGAGCAAACA
Molecule: ribosomal RNA, 402 nt
Filed under: uncultured prokaryote
Description: bacterial SSU rRNA
Rfam family: Bacterial small subunit ribosomal RNA
Source: RNAcentral